This 5253-nucleotide long non-coding RNA is filed under the name Sus scrofa (pig). Its description in RNAcentral is "lncRNA (ENSSSCG00000055380.1)". Lineage: Eukaryota; Metazoa; Chordata; Mammalia; Artiodactyla; Suidae. The record is from RNAcentral.
AGACAAACUUAUGGUUACCAAAGGGGAAACAUGGGAAGAGGGAUACAUUAGGAGGGUGGGAUUAACAUAUAUACACUACUGUAUAUAAAUAGAUAAACCAAAAAGACCUGCUGUAUAUCACAGGAAGAUUUACUCAGUACUAUGUAAUAACCUUACAUGGGAAAAUAAUCUGAAAAAGAAUAUAUGUACAUAUAUGUAUAUUUAUAACUAAAUUACUUUAUACCUGAAACCAACACAGCACUGUAAGUCAACUAUACUCUAAUAACAUUUAAAAAAAAGAAGUCAGAGAGGAGAAGAUGCCCAUAUAUAUUGCUUGAGAAGAUGUAUUCUCUACUCUCAGUGCAGUGUGAGGGCAGGUAAGUGUUUAAAGGGGUUGAUGUGAGCUGAUUUAAAUUUAUUGCUUCAAGGAACAAGUAUUCCCCAAGUGCCUACUAUGUGUGCAACACUGUUCUGGGCACAGAACACACAGAAAGGAUUAACACUGACAAAACACUGUCCUCGUACAGCUUGUAAUGCAGUGCAGUGUUCAGUAGGUCAGAGAAAUCUUUAACAGUGUAAGUGACAUGGAAGCAAGGAUCUGAAGAGCAUGAGAUCUAGUGGUGGGGGAUGGAGGAUGUAGAAGCCCUGGGAGUCCAUAUCAGCUGGGUGGAACCAUUCCAGCUGCCUUGACCCUGGACUGUGCAGCACAGAGGGCUCUGUGUGUGUGUGCACACGUGUGUACAUACCUGCAUUCACAUAGAUGUAUGCAUGCACACAGGUGAUGUACAGUAAUUUAAGUGAUGGACAUGAAGAAACUAGGCUGCAUAGAUACUGUAGGGUGAGGAGAGAAAGAGAUAAAGGCAAGAUUUUAUGGCUGAAUGGAGAAGGAUGAAGUGGUUCUGAAGAUGGAGAAAAAAGUCAUGGGUAUGUUCUAUGAAUUCAAGGAAAAAGAAGUUAGUAGUUUCAUCAAGCUGGCAGGUGAGGAUAAGAAUUUCAAUACAUUUUGGGUUUAGUGACUUGAGGGUUACUAAAUCCAGUAUAGGUAGAUUAAUGGAAGCCAAGUGCAUUAGAGGAAUAAACAAGAUGUGGAAAAUGUGAGGGUAGCUACAUUUUUGAAAACCUUUCAAAGAUAUGAAGAGAGGAGAAUAAUAUAAUAUCUGAAACAGAUUAUUGAAUUAAGGAAGUUUUUGCUUGUUUUCCUUUUUUUGUUCUUUUUUUUUGGGGGGACAUGCCCACAGCAUGUGGAAUUCCUAGGCCAGGAGUCAAACCCAUGCCACAGCAGUGACCUUAGCUGCUGCAGUGACAACGCUGGAUCCUUAACCCACUGUAUGGCAGGAGAACUCCUUGUUUGUUUUUAAUGGGAAAGACUGUUAUAUUUAGAAGUUGAUGUGACCCAAUUAAGGAGAUGUUGAAUAUGCAAAUGAGAGAAGGGAAAUUAAUAAUAGUUUAGUGGGUAAUUCAGGCCUGGCAAAUAUUAUUAUAAAUUUUUGUGGAGGCACAACUAUGGAGGCAGUGUCUCUCCAAUAAUCAUCACAGUAAUCAAUUCAUUUAUUUUUACUGCUUUAAAUGUAUUAUCCAGUAUCAGUUAAUAAUCUCAAUUUAACUAAUGAUGUUGCUUUUUAAGGAAAAGAGACAAUGCCUUGCCUUUUUCUUUCUCUUAGUUGAGUAUUUGUCUUCAAUAAUUCACUGCCUCAAUCCUCACCAAAGAUAAAUGAACUCUACAUGUUACCUACCUUUACCAUGCAUGACCGUUUAUAAAUAGCUACAUUUUGGUGCUAAUGUUAAGUAUGCGAGUGGGUUUUAAUAAACCAUACUCCCUUUCUUGCUUCUGUGUUAUCAACUUUAUGUCAAAAGACAAGGAAAAAUUAUCUGAACAUUGUUUAGUAUAAUCAUCAUUAAUUAGUUAAUAAUACUUAUCCAGAGGGGUUUUAACCUUUUUCUCCCCCAAGGGUUAUUCUAAUGUCAGAGUAGAAUAAAAAAGAUCUAGAGUGACCCUCCCCUCUUCCAAAGGUAACAUUUAUCAUAAGUCAGUUAGCUCUCUACCAGAAGUAAGGAGGUGAACAACUGUUUGUGGUAGUCAGUGCAGCAGAAGCGGAAGAGGAACCCAGCUUCCAGCCCAUCCUUCCUCAUUCCUCUUUUAUAACCUAACAUUGUUGAUGUGAUUAAUGACCCAUCUUUCUUUACUUUCUGGUUCUUUUCUUGGAACUCUUUGUUGAUAAUGCUGCUACUAUGUUUAGAUUAAGGGUAAAUAAGCCUUAUCUUUUAUCACAUUUUUAUGAUUUUCAGAGUAGUAUUUACUUUUAACAGUGGAUUCUAAGUUACCUCCUCCUCCUUUCCCCUUUGGUAACCUUGUUUGCUUCCUAUUUUGUGAGCCCAUUUCUGUCAUUUUUUUUUUUUUAGAUUAGAAGUUUUGGAUUACAAAUACACACUACUGUAUAUAAAAUAGGUAAACAACAAGGACCCACUGUAUAGCACAAGGAACAGUAUAUCUUUUAAUAACUUAUAUGGGAAAAAACCUGAAAAAGUCAUGGAAUAUAUGACUGAAUCAUUUUGUUGUACAUAUGACAUGAAUACAACAUUGUAAAUUAACUACACUUAAAUUAAUAAAAGCCAUGUGUUUUGCAGAGAAUUAAUAAAUCCCAGCCCAACAGUGACAUUUCAAACCUAAUUAACACUAGCACUCUUUACUUACACAAAUAAUCAUGGACACCAGGGGAUUUGAGAAUGGUCUUCUCACAUCUAAUAUAACUUUCAAAUUGAUUUUCCUUUUAAUAUUUCCUUCCCUGGCUGAUCCAUAUGAAUCCCUUUUAUUAAGAAAAAUAAUCAGGAUUCACUAAAAAGCUGAAUAGCAGCUUGUUAAUCAUUCAGGGAAGUGUUGCAGGCUUAAGCAAUUUUAUAUGUAGAUACUGAACCCACUAUAUUGUUAUAAGCAAACUCUGAAAUACAGAUAAGCCCAGAUGACUCAUUCUCAUGAACUGGAAUGAUGGUUAAGCUGCAUGUGCUCAAAAAUUAUGAUUUUCUACCCACUUGCAAACCAACAAGGAAAAGCUCUGGAGAAAAUAGAACCUAAGGAAAUACAACUUAUUUGUUUCAGUAGAAGAUAAUUUACCACCACUGUCUAGUUAGUUUUAUAUUAGGUAAAUUUAGCUUUGUGAUUUAUUGCCUAAGACAUUUUCUUCCUUCCUGUAAAGCCUCAUGCCAAAAAUGUGAUUUUUGAGGGUUGAUGGCCUCUUAAAAAUUACCUGCAAUUCUGGAAGCUUGAGCGGAAUAUUGAUUUUUUUUAUUCAUCUUUUAAGAAAAUUUUUAUGUAUUACUUUUUCAAAAAACUUUGGACUCGGAGUUCCCGUCGUGGCGCAGUGGUUAACGAAUCCGACUAGGAACCAUGAGGUUGCGGGUUCGGUCCCUGCCCUUGCUCAGUGGGAUAAUGAUCCGGCGUUGCCGUGAGCUGUGGUGUAGGUUGCAGACGCAGCUCGGAUCCAGUGUUGCUGUGGCUCUGGCGUAGGCCGGUGGCUACAGCUCAGAUUCGACCCCUAACCUGGGAACCUCCAUAUGCCGCGGGAGCGGCCCAAAGAAAUAGCAACAACAGCAACAACAACAUCAACAACAACAACAGACAAAAAAAGACAAAGACAAAAAAAAAAAAAAAAAAGCAAAAAACUUUGGACUCUGUCUCAUUUGCCUGUUUUCUUCUUUCUUGUUGUGAUUUUAGGGAUUUGGUUGCUACUAUGAAUAAGCUAUCUUCAAAAAUUAUCUGAUUGAAAACACCACCAAUGGAGUUGUAUUAAAUUUUAAUACUAUGACUAGUGAAACAUACACAUUUGUCUUACUGAGAUUAUUCUGCUGUCACUAGAGUUAUAAUAAUAGUUCUGUUUACCAUCAAUAACUUGAAUAUUUUCUGAGGUUUUGUACAUAUUGGAAGUUAAUUUUCUUUCUUAGGGAGACAUAUUAUAUCCUAUAGCCAAACAAAUGAGUAUUAUAUUUUAGCGUAGAUUGCUUACCACUUGCUGGUUUUUCUUUAUUAAGAAUUUUAUGGAAAUGUUAACUUGAGGUAGGGUCAGGAUGGCAGAUAGGAAGACCCUGAGCUCCCCUCUUCCCAUGAACACCCCAAAAUGGCAACUCCAUGUAGAAAAACUCUUCCAAGAAUCCAAUUGAAGACUAGCAGAAUGGCUUGUCUAUAGUUAUGCAAAAACUAUACCCAGUGGGUAGGAAGGGAAGGUAAGUGACCUAGUGAGGACCCACACCCCCUGGUGUGAAACCCAGAAGAGGAAGAAACACAACUUGGAAGUCCUCCUUAAGGAGCAAGUAGUUUUACCCCCACAUUGGACACCCCAGCCCUGGGAAACAGCCUGGGAAUCACUGGGGACUAGCUGGUUUUGAAGCCAGUGGGGCUUACAACUGGAAGAGCCAGGGAUGGAGGAAACUUGUCCUUGCACAUGUCCUUUAAGACUCUUCUCUUAAAGGACAUGUGCACAGAUAAGAGACAGCAGAAUAAAAAGUGCCUGAUGCUCUCGCUGGCCUGCCUAGACCACCCCAGAGCACCUCUCAGCCCUCAUCAAGGCUUGGCUUUAUCCUCUCUCCCCCAGCCCCACCAAGGUGGCAGCUCUGGUGAGUUCCAGGGAAAGCCCAGGAUUCUAAGGCUCCAGCUCAACUCCCUGCCAAGGCAGCAACUGCCAGUGUGCCCUGAGAGAAUUUCCAACUUGUGUCAGGCUCCAACUCUAUCCUCCUUCACCAGUUCCAGCCCACUCUCACCAAAGCUGUGGCCCUGGCACUGUCCAGAAAAAUCCUGGACCACAGUCAGUUCAGAUCCAGCUCUUCCACAAAAAGUCACUGGGCACAUGCAGAUUGCAUAGGGACUCUCCCACAUAAGAACAUGCUUUCAGGAUUGCAAUAGUUAACUGUUUCACCUAAUUUCAUAGAGACGGAGAAAGAAUCAAACAAAAUGAGAAGACAGACAGAUAUGUUACAAUCAAAAGAACAAGAUAAAAUUCUAGAAGUAAAAAACCCUAAUGCAAUGGAGAUUAGUAAUUUACCUAAUAAAGAGUAUGAAGCAAUGAUCAUGAAAAUGCUCCCCAAACCAGAGAAGAGAAUAGAGGAAUAUGGUGAGAACUUCAACAAAUAAUUAGAAAAUAUAAAAAAGAACCAGUAGGAAGAACACAAUGACUGAAGUGAAAAAUACGCUAGAAAGAAUCAAUAGCAGAUUAGGUGGUACAGGAGAAUGGAUCAAAGUCUGGAAGAAAGAAUAGUGGAAGUCACCCAAUCAGAACAAGUCAAAAG